Saccostrea cuccullata (small rock oyster) is the source of this 583-nucleotide long non-coding RNA. RefSeq lists it as uncharacterized. Lineage: Eukaryota; Metazoa; Mollusca; Bivalvia; Ostreida; Ostreidae. The transcript is spliced from 4 exons. The record is from RefSeq and is a predicted model, not a curated record.
GAAAGACCUACCUGCCUCUAGCAGAGAGUGGUAGUAGGAUCUACUUUGUCACCAGUGACUUGGCCAAAAUCAACAACAUGUACAGAUUCAGUCUGGCUGCCUUCCUUAGAAUCUUCCAGAAAGCUCUCAAGACCAAACAAGACGGCAGUGGGACUGACCACAGAAUCCAAGCCCUGACUCAGAGACUACAGAAUCUGGUGUAUGAAUACGUCUGCCGCUCUCUGUUCAAAGCAGAUCAACUCAUGUUUGCCCUUCACAUGGUGCAUGGAAUGAGACCAGAGAUGUUUGAAUAAAACGACUGGGAGGGUUUCACAGGAAUCCUGGUGUCUGAUGUGAAGUCGGAGAGAGGGCGGGGAUUACCCUCCUGGCUUGAUCAAGAGAGGCACACUGCUGUCACCAAUCUCAAGAACAAUUUCCCAAAGUUGUACCAGGUGCUGAACUUUGAUGAUGGGUCUCUCUGGUCUAACUUCUCCCGUAGGAACGAGUGUGAGAAGGAGUUCCCCUCAGUGAUUGAGAAGCGAGUCACUCUAUUCCAGCAGUUACUUGUAGUCCAGGCAGUCAGGCCAGACAGCCUACAGACUGC